RNAcentral lists this long non-coding RNA (1249 nucleotides) under Triticum aestivum (bread wheat). RNAcentral's name for it is "long non-coding RNA (TAES_LNC024396)". The record is from RNAcentral. Lineage: Eukaryota; Viridiplantae; Streptophyta; Magnoliopsida; Poales; Poaceae.
UCAAGGGAGCCGAUGAGACGCGUGCGGGGCAACCGGCGGUCCGGGGGAUCCAGCCAAGGCGAGGCGUCUGAGGGGAUCCGGCGCUCGAGCGGCUGCCUCCAGGUCAGUUCGCUCAUCUUCCCUCCCCUUCUCUCUCAGGUCCUGAAGGCGGCAGCGGCAACGAGCCGGCGACGCCUCCGCUGAGGUUGCGGCGAUGGAACCCGCGCGAGGUGGUGCUGGGCGGGGCGAGCGUGCGGCAUGGGCCGCUGGCCUUUGGAACACAUAUCUACAUCCAUAGCUCUGGCGGCGACGGCGGCGGUAGCGGAUGACGUCUCAUCCUGCUCCUAGCCGGCGAUGGUGGAUCAACGCCUAUUCUAAUUUAACCCUCCUCUCUUCUUCUUGUACAGGGUAUGGACAGGUGCAAACUGUUCUUGUGUACACAUCAGUCAGCUAUUCACAUAUAAGAAAUCAUUUCGUUAAAAGGUGCACGCAUCCCAAGCGAACACGGAGUGAAAAACUGGGAGGAGAAUAUAGACGCAUCUUAGCCAGUUGGCUCGUGUUUGGGGAUCAGUGCAAGUUUAAUCGGAAUGAUUUUCAAUGUCUCAAUACAGCAGCCGUGAGUAUGUAUACACAGUUUCAACCUGUCCAAGAGUCCAUACACAUUUAAGGCAGGGUGCACAUGUCCGUACAAAAUCGGGCACUGAUUCAUUUAUGAACUUUCUAGAAGCCAUUUAUUAGCUGGACUCUCAGAAUGCAUCUACAGCAAUAAUAAUUUUAUUAUGUGCGCAGCCGUCGCAUGCCUACAUCACAAACCAAACAUAUAUCUUUUCAAAUCAUUUGUUGAUUCAUCUCUGCCGUCAGUUAUUUGUAGUUUGAUUUGGUAACAAUGACGAGAAGUUGUAAUCCUCUUUCAGGCACCAGUUCAGUACACGUUGGAAGAAGGUUUGGAGAGACCGACCCCAUGUGUCAACUACAGUAUGUUCGACGAAAUGUGGAGCGUGGUUUUAAAUGGAGAUUCUUGGUAUCACGUGUCAGGACGUAAGUCACUAGGAAAGGAAAAGGGUGACGAGUUAACAGCUUCCUGUGCAACGGAAGCGUGAAAUGAUGUCGUGAAAUCUCACGAUUAGCCUGUUGCGAUUCAAGAUUAGAGAAGUGACAGUAUGUAUCUUUCUAAUGAAUGAAUAAAAAGGAAUUCCGCUCAGCGUAUUAUUCUGUGUUUUUAUGUCACGCAUAGUAGUUAAUCAAAUGAUGUGUUAAUUUGAGAAAUGAU